Molecule: long non-coding RNA, 282 nt
Filed under: Elaeis guineensis (African oil palm)
Lineage: Eukaryota; Viridiplantae; Streptophyta; Magnoliopsida; Arecales; Arecaceae
Description: long non-coding RNA (EGUI_LNC059802)
Source: RNAcentral
AAGAAGGAGAGUCCUUCUGUGAGAAGUCUCUCAUGUACCAAAAAUUUUACAUGGUGAAUUUAUUCACUAUGUGAGAAGAUGGACCGCCAAAGGUUGGUGCCCCUUCAUUCCAAGACACAUCCUUGGUCCCCUAUAUAUAUGGGACAUCCCACAUGGCUACCUAUUGUGAUUUUGGAUUGAAACCAGAGAGUUGGGAUGUGAAAAUUAUAAAAAAAAUUUUGAAUAAAAUUUGAGAAAAAAGCAAGGGAAAUUUGAGUGGCAAAUAUUGCAAGAAGGGUGGUG